AUCCACCCUGUGUUUCACGUCUCGCAGUUGAAGCCUUUCACCCCCAACUACAGUCCGGUGUUCUCUGAACUUCCGGUCACCACUGAUCUGUCCACUAAGGAGACCAUACCAGUGGAGAUACUGGACCGUAGAAUGAUGAAGGGCAACGCACCCGUGGUUCAAUUGCAAGUGGCCUGGGACACAGUUCCUCCGACGAUCACCUGGGAGGAUUACGACGUGCUUCGCCGGCGUUACCCGCAAGCAAGCAUCUGGGAAGACGACGCAACGGAGGAAGAAGUACGUUCUCAAGGAAGGGAGAAUGUCACCACGGCAGUGCAAGGCACCACCGCGUGA
RNAcentral lists this ribosomal RNA (333 nucleotides) under Triticum aestivum (bread wheat). RNAcentral's name for it is "partial small subunit ribosomal RNA". The record is from RNAcentral. Lineage: Eukaryota; Viridiplantae; Streptophyta; Magnoliopsida; Poales; Poaceae.